CAAUGUGGGAAACGAAUCAAUUUUUUAUAAUUUCUUACUCCACCGUUUCAUAUGCACACAUUAUGACAACACCAUUGAAACUUCCCCAAUAUUCUUCCCCCUUUCUCAUCGCUCCAAAUUGACUCAAAACUCGUAUCAUUCUUUGUAAAUUUCACCAAAUCCUUCAAUCAAACACGCACACCUCAACAACUCAUGACGUUAUUCAACAGUGUUUGCACACAUUGGUUGUGUGAAUCAAGGUAGAUUCGACACCAUCAAUUUCUUUGGUCUCAAAGCUGUAUAUGUUCGAGGGUUGUACAAGUAAAUAUUGAGUGACAACACUUUCCAAGAUACAGUAAGGUCAAUAAAACAUUUAGAACGUGCUAAUUUCGUUCAAUUCGUAAAGAUUCUUAUAAGGACCAUUGUCAGAUUGCAUUUUCUUGUGAAGUAGAUGGCAAGUAGAAAAAGGAAAAUUCAAAAUGAUGCAGACAACAUUAACGCACUUCACAAAGAAUGGGACGAAAUUUCUUGUCCUAUAUGCAUGGAUCAUCCACACAAUGCUGUUCUUAUUCUCUGCAGUUCUCAUUCAAAAGGAUGCAGGUCUUUCAUUUGCGACACAAGUUACCGACACUCAAAUUGUCUCGAUCGAUUCAAAAAACUUGUUUCUGAAACCACCAGUUCCACCACAGACCCGCCUAAUCUGAUCUCCGCAAACGACAAUCUAAUUGAAGAUGUUGAAUUGGCUGGAGGGCUUCAAGAUUCUGAUCACAACAACAACAAUGACAAUAAUAAUAAUGAUGAUGCACCGAGUUUAAAGCCAAAAUCUUGCCUAAAAUGCCCUUUGUGUCGGGGAAAAGUGUCGGGGUGGGAGGUGGUGGAGGAGGUGCGGCAGUAUUUAAAUUCGAAAUCCCGAAGUUGUUCUCAAGAAUCGUGUUUGUUUUCCGGGAGUUAUAGAGAAUUAAGACGACAUGCUAGGCGGGCCCACCCGACAGCCCGGCCGUCCGAUGUUGACCCUACCCGUGAAAGAGCUUGGAGGCGGCUUGAGCACCAAAGAGAGUACGGUGAUAUAGUUAGUGCCAUCCGGUCUGCCAUGCCGGGGGCGGUUGUUUUCGGUGAUUACGCUAUCGAAAACGGAGAUAAUCGGAUACCUGGUGAGAACAGGAGUCUUGUUGCGGAAGCAGGGAGCAAUAAUGGGCAUUGGUGGACGGCGUUUUUCUUGUUUCAGAUGAUCGGGUCUAUGGAACAUCCGCCUGCCGACCGGAGAGGCAUUGGGAGAGCUAGGGUUCCGACAAGGCAUCGCCGCCGUCGGCUUUUGUGGGGGGAAACGUUAUUGGGUUUACAAGAUGAUGACGACGGUGAUGAUGAUAGUGACGAUGGUGAUCCUUUUGAGUUGGAUUUGGUUGAUAAUAAUGAUGAAGAUCGGGUUCCUUCUGAGAACCCUAGGAGACGUAGACGAAGGUUGACUCGAUACAGAUCAGACGAAGAUCAAUCAUGAAAAUCUGGUAGCUUUUUUUUUGUUUUUCGGGCCGGGUAACGGGUCAAGACAGAUAAAAGCAAACCGAUGCAUCAGGUUUUUCAACUCUCGUUCACUUCGAUACCACCGGUGGAGAGAUCAUAAGCGUAUUUGAAUUUCAAAUCGUUGUUAUUUGCUCAGAUGUUUUUUAGAUUGAAGAAUGGUUGUUGGUUCUGUUUGUGGGGUGGGAAGAUGGGGGGGCUGCUUGGAGCAUUUACAUUACUCUAUUUGUGCUUGUUUACACCAUUUAUGUGAAGUAACUUGAAUGAAACCUUUUUUUACAAGUUCAUUUUUGUCUUCA
This is an RNA transcript of Helianthus annuus (common sunflower), 1793 nucleotides long. RefSeq lists it as uncharacterized. Lineage: Eukaryota; Viridiplantae; Streptophyta; Magnoliopsida; Asterales; Asteraceae. The transcript has 4 exons. The record is from RefSeq and is a predicted model, not a curated record.